Molecule: long non-coding RNA, 695 nt
Filed under: Homo sapiens (human)
Lineage: Eukaryota; Metazoa; Chordata; Mammalia; Primates; Hominidae
Description: long non-coding RNA NONHSAT153196.1
Source: RNAcentral
CACGCGCAGACGAGCGGGUCUGGGUCCGGACGAGGGGAGGGAGGGGGUGGUGUUCUCGGUUUCCUGGGUUACCUGGGCGGGCGGGGGUGGGGAGUGCGCGGCGGCGGCGGCAGCGGCGUCGGCUCGGGGUUCUCCGGGAGAGGGGGAGUGCGCGGCGGCCGCAGCUGCCACAAACCAGGUGAAGCUUUGUUCUAAGAAUAUUUGUUUCAUCUAGUUUAUGAGUCCAAAUGAUAUAGACUGUAAAUGUCACAGCAGUGGUGAAAGACUGCUCGGUCAUGAGCACCGACAGUAACUCACUGGCACGUGAAUUUCUGACCGAUGUCAACCGGCUUUGCAAUGCAGUGGUCCAGAGGGUGGAGGCCAGGGAGGAAGAAGAGGAGGAGACGCACAUGGCAACCCUUGGACAGUACCUUGUCCAUGGUCGAGGAUUUCUAUUACUUACCAAGCUAAAUUCUAUAAUUGAUCAGAGAUGGGGUUUCACCGUGUUGACCAGCUGAUCUUAAACUCCUGACCUCAAGCAGUCUACCCCCGUUGGCCUCCCAAAGUGCUGGGAUUACAGGUGUGAGCCACUGCACCCAGCCAAGUUUAUGUAUUUUUAUUCUUUUUCAUGAAUGUGAUUUGUUAAAUGAGUGAUUAAAUAUAAUUUUUAUAUAUUUGUAUGACUUUUCUGUAAAUAAAAUUUAAAAUCAGAAAAA